Molecule: long non-coding RNA, 592 nt
Organism: Oppia nitens
Lineage: Eukaryota; Metazoa; Arthropoda; Arachnida; Sarcoptiformes; Oppiidae
Exons: 4
Source: RefSeq, a predicted model, not a curated record
UUUACAGCACACAUAUAAUACACAGUGUGUUCAUUGACUCCACGUGUUUGUGACUAUGAGUCAAUCGCAUGAAUGGUAUUAAUAAGUUAAUAACAACAAUCAUUUGGAUGACCAGAUGAUGGAACCAUUUAUAAGUGAUGGUUACCACUGAUGAUGGACUGGUGUGUGGUAUUGGGAUACGAGUCGUGGAUUUUGGUGUCGUUGGUCGCCAUUUGAUAUGUCUUUGAAGAUAAAAUGAUAUCCCUAUAGACUCGUUGGAAACAAUGGUUAUCUGUUAUCACCAACAGGUACUUCAAGUGUUUAAACAACAGUGGAUAACAUCAGUCAUUUUGAUGACCAGAUGAUGGAAUGGUGAAUGGUAUUGGGAUACAAGUCGUGGAUUUUGUUGUCGUUGGACGCCAUUUGAAGUCUUUGAAGAUAAAAUGAUAGCCCGAUAGACUCGGAAACAAUGGUUAUACGUCAUGACCAACAGGUACUUCAAGUGUUUUAAACACUUUGUUCAACACUUUCAAAGAUAAGCCAAGAUAUAUCCUAUGUUGUAUACCAUCCUCGAGAGUCAAUAUAAGUGUUGAUCUGUAUUAUUAUUAUAUAU